AAUUUCUUCAAUGAAAUUGUAAAUAUAAAACCCAUAGAGUAAAUGAUAAAUAUUUUUAGCAACUAAAUUUCUAAACAAUUCACAACCAUUCCCAAAACUCGGUGUCACAAGUGCAUGAGCAUUUACUAGGGAAUUAAAAAUAAAAUACAGCAUCUGUCUAGAAUACAAAUUAGACAGGAAAAUAUAAUAACUCUGAAGGAGACUCUGUUAGCUGCGGAUCGUAAUAUAGAAUGCAGCUCACCUAUGUCUCCACAAUUAUUAACCACACCUCUGCGCCCACAAGGUCGCGAUACAUAUAUGUACCUGCACAACAAAAUAUGUAGCAAGUGCAAUAUGAGUACGAAAAUAACGUGUACCCAGUAAGUAUCAAGCCUAAUCUCGAAGUGGUAGAGACGAGAUAGCCGACUUUGACACUCACUAUGCGUCAAUAAUAAUAAUUAAAAUAAAUUAUAAUUAUUCAAAUCAGCAUGGUUCACAGAGUUAACAAUAAUUUUAUUCAAUUAGCAGAAAUAAUAAAAAUCCUUCAAAUGCAACAAUUUUCCAAUUUAUUUAUUUAAAUCAUGCAAUUUCAAUAAAACUUCUAAUUUAUCAAAUAGCUUUACAAGUUGCAAUUCAAUUUCAAUAAAUUUUCAAUUUAUCAAUUAAAACUCAUUUACAGGAAUAACAAUUAAUUCCUUAACAAGCAAGACUAAUAAUUCAUUAAACUCCAAGAAUUUUUUAAUUUAUCAAUUAGCUUCGCAAGCUGAAAUAAAUUAUUAAAGUAUCGUGUAAUUAUUAUUAUUAUUAAGCACGAUUUCUGCGGAGAACGUACGGCCCGAUCCAGAGUGUCGUGUACACUAUCGAGGGACGUGCGGUGUGAUCCAUAGAUGCAUCUAUCAUGCCGAAGCAUUCGGACCGCUCCACAAAAAAGGAGGACAUUUUCUUAUGUACCUCCGGAAGAAGAGUAUAUUUAUUAUGAGAUAAAUUCGGGAGGAGAAUAAUUUCUUUUAACAAUUAAUUAAUUUAAACAGAAAAUCAAGCAUAUGAUAUUUUCAUCCUUUAAUAUCUUUAUCUAACAAUUCACAAUAUAUUCAUAUAUAUCAAUUAAUAUUAAUUAAUAAAGGAAUGCAAUUUACACAAGUAAUUCAUGCUUUGAGCCCUAAACUACCCGGACUUUAGCAUUAAUAGUAGCUACGCACGGACUCCCGUCACCUCAUGCGUACGUAGCCCCCGCAAUUAACAACAAUUAUUCAAUUUAAUCCAUAUGGGGUAAUUUUCCCUUCACAAGAUUAGACAAGAGACUUACCUCGUCUCAAAGUCCACUUUCCAAUUAUCGCGUCGCGUAAAAUUCUCGAUUCGAUGCUGAAAAAUCCGAAACU
RNAcentral lists this long non-coding RNA (1358 nucleotides) under Nicotiana tabacum (common tobacco). RNAcentral describes it as "long non-coding RNA (NTAB_LNC011382)". The record is from RNAcentral. Lineage: Eukaryota; Viridiplantae; Streptophyta; Magnoliopsida; Solanales; Solanaceae.